UAGAGAAUCUGAAUUUCACCCGUAGCUGACGAUUCAUUCUUUAUACUGUAAGAAACUGUGAGUUACUAUCCAGGAACAGGGAUUUAUAUCCCUAGUGAAUGCUGCAUAUGGAAUAAGGGGCUCUUCUAUUCUCUUUGAAAUAGCAACAGCCGCUCCCAGCAUUCCAGAAAUAUGCAGAGCAAGUUUUUCCCACAAGAAAGUAUCUACCUUGAAGAUAUGGAGCCAAGACUCUCUACAGCUUGCUUUCUUCAUCACAGCCUCCAAAUAAUAGCAUGCAAUAAGAACAUUUCUUUCACCUUUAA
Long non-coding RNA from Cyanistes caeruleus (blue tit), 302 nucleotides. RefSeq lists it as uncharacterized. NCBI's taxonomy places the organism in Eukaryota, Metazoa, Chordata, Aves, Passeriformes, Paridae. The record is from RefSeq and is a predicted model, not a curated record.